This 398-nucleotide ribosomal RNA is filed under the name uncultured bacterium. RNAcentral's name for it is "bacterial SSU rRNA". It matches the Rfam family "Bacterial small subunit ribosomal RNA", at positions 47 to 441 of the family's 1533-position model. The record is from RNAcentral.
CCUAACACAUGCAAGUCGAACGGUAGCAGGAAGAAGCUUGCUUCUUUGCUGACGAGUGGCGGACGGGUGAGUAAUGUCUGGGAAACUGCCUGAUGGAGGGGGAUAACUACUGGAGACGGUAGCUAAUACCGCAUAACGUCGCAAGACCAAAGAGGGGGACCUUCGGGCCUCUUGCCUUCGGAUGUGCCCAGAUGGGAUUAGCUAGUAGGUGGGGUAACGGCUCACCUAGGCGACGAUCCCUAGCUGGUCUGAGAGGAUGACCAGCCACACUGGAACUGAGACACGGUCCAGACUCCUACGGGAGGCAGCAGUGGGGAAUAUUGCACAAUGGGCGCAAGCCUGAUGCAGCCAUGCCGCGUGUAUGAAGAAGGCCUUCGGGUUGUAAAGUACUUACAGCG